RNAcentral lists this ribosomal RNA (301 nucleotides) under uncultured bacterium. Its description in RNAcentral is "partial 16S ribosomal RNA". It matches the Rfam family "Bacterial small subunit ribosomal RNA", at positions 509 to 807 of the family's 1533-position model. The record is from RNAcentral.
CAGCAGCCGCGGUAAUACGAAGGGGGCUAGCGUUGUUCGGAAUUACUGGGCGUAAAGCGCACGUAGGCGGACAUUUAAGUCAGGGGUGAAAUCCCGGGGCUCAACCCCGGAACUGCCUUUGAUACUGGGUGUCUAGAGUAUGGAAGAGGUGAGUGGAAUUCCGAGUGUAGAGGUGAAAUUCGUAGAUAUUCGGAGGAACACCAGUGGCGAAGGCGGCUCACUGGUCCAUUACUGACGCUGAGGUGCGAAAGCGUGGGGAGCAAACAGGAUUAGAGACCCCAGUAGUCCCUGUCUCUUAUAC